Molecule: ribosomal RNA, 432 nt
Filed under: uncultured bacterium
Lineage: Bacteria
Description: partial 16S ribosomal RNA
Rfam family: Bacterial small subunit ribosomal RNA
Source: RNAcentral
AACGAACGCUGGCGGCAUGCCUAACACAUGCAAGUCGAACGAGACCUUCGGGUCUAGUGGCGCACGGGGCCUUACCGCGGGGGAACCUGCCCUUGGGUUCGAAUAAACUCCCGGAAGGGGGUCCAAUUCCCGGAUAAUUUCUUCGGCCAAAGAUUUAUCGCCUUUGGAUGGGCCCGCGUUGGAUUAGCUAGUUGGUAGGGUAAAAGCCUACCAAGGCGACGAUCCAUAGCUGGUCUGAGAGGAUGAUCAGCCACACUGGGACUGAGACACGGCCCAGACUCCUACGGGAGGCAGCAGUGGGGAAUAUUGGACAAUGGGCGAAAGCCUGAUCCAGCAAUGCCGCGUGAGUGAUGAAGGCCUUAGGGUUGUAAAGCUCUUUUACCCGGGAUGAUAAUGACAGUACCGGGAGAAUAAGCUCCGGCUAACUCCGUG